Molecule: ribosomal RNA, 302 nt
Filed under: uncultured bacterium
Lineage: Bacteria
Description: bacterial SSU rRNA
Rfam family: Bacterial small subunit ribosomal RNA
Source: RNAcentral
GAUGAACGCUGGCGGCAUGCCUUACACAUGCAAGUCGAACGGUAACAGGUCUUCGGACGCUGACGAGUGGCGAACGGGUGAGUAAUACAUCGGAACGUGCCCAGUCGUGGGGGAUAACUACUCGAAAGAGUAGCUAAUACCGCAUACAAUCUGAGGAUGAAAGCGGGGGACCUUCGGGCCUCGCGCGAUUGGAGCGGCCGAUGGCAGAUUAGGUAGUUGGUGGGAUAACGGCCCACCAAGGCGACGAUCAGUAGCCGGCCUGAGAGGGUGAACGGCCACAUUGGGACUGAGACACGGCCCAA